AAGAGCCCCUGCCAUACCUUGUGUACCAGCCCCUGCCCUGGCAGAUCCAGUGUGUGACACAGAGCCGCCGCACCAGCCGGGACAGCGAUAGAGGCAGGAGCUCACGUCACAACAGCAUCUACUCGAUUUCUGGAGAUAGAGGCAGCUUGACCCCCGAUGCCAGCAGUGAGGGCAAAUUCUUCAGCGAUCCCUCUGAGAAGGCAGCUCUCACCAUCCAGACCCACUUCAGGAGAUACCAGCAGCAGAAGCAGGGGAAGAAGUAGCUGCCUUGGCCGUCGUGCCCUGCACCGUCCCUCCUUUUGUGCAUCGCGUUCCCCAGCGAGAUUUGUGGCCGUGGUGACCCUGCUACCUAGCUCUUGGUGUGUGUAGAUUGUCUGCUGGUCACUGAGAUCCUUUUCCUGGUGGCUCCUUCCCUGGACAGCAUUGCCUUGAAGACCGAGGUGCAACCACGGGGCUCCUGGUGGGAGCCUGACAUCCACGUGGCAGAGCUGGCAUUUGCCAGCCUAGGUGGAAGCACAGUGCUGGGAGCUGCAAGCCUAGGAUGUGGAGAACAGGGCACAAACAGCCAAGAGCAAUUUGCAGCAGUUAAGCAUCCAGGUGGGGCUCUUUCUCAUCAGCUUCAGCCCUCCUCCGUGCCUCUGUUUUGGGCUGGAGCUGAGGCAGAGCAGUCACCUCUCCUUCCCUUGCUCUUGGACCUGAACAGUGAUGUCCCCCAGGCUGUGUGCUUCAGGCACUGAGGGAGCAGGAGGUGUGCUGCAUGCUGUGACCUGGUUUCUUCUUUUCUUGCGGGCUCCUGG
Molecule: long non-coding RNA, 797 nt
Organism: Centrocercus urophasianus (Greater sage-grouse)
Lineage: Eukaryota; Metazoa; Chordata; Aves; Galliformes; Phasianidae
Exons: 3
Source: RefSeq, a predicted model, not a curated record